Molecule: transfer RNA, 75 nt
Filed under: bacterium
Lineage: Bacteria
Description: tRNA-Trp
Rfam family: tRNA
About the family: Transfer RNA (tRNA) molecules are approximately 80 nucleotides in length. Their secondary structure includes four short double-helical elements and three loops (D, anti-codon, and T loops).
Source: RNAcentral
GGGUCCAUAAGCUAAUUGGUAAACUGUCGGUCUCCAAAACCGAUUUUCCAGGUUCAAGUCCUGGUGGACCCGCUA